Mesocricetus auratus (golden hamster) is the source of this 72-nucleotide non-coding RNA. NCBI's taxonomy places the organism in Eukaryota, Metazoa, Chordata, Mammalia, Rodentia, Cricetidae. The record is from Rfam.
GGGGAGGUAGCUCAGUGGUAGAGCGCAUGGUUUGCAUGUAUGAGGCUUCGGGUUCGGUCCCCAGCAUCUCCA